CCUACGGGUGGCAGCAGUGGGGAAUAUUGGGCAAUGGGCGCAAGCCUGACCCAGCAACGCCGCGUUAAGGACGACGUCUUUCGGGUUGUAAACUUCUUUUGUCAGGGAAGAGUAGAAGACGGUCCCUGACGAAUAAGCCACGGCUAACUACGUGCCAUCAGCCGCGGUAAUACGUAGGUGGCAGGCGUUGUCCGUAUUUACUGGGUGGAAAGGGCGUGUAGCCGGGUUGACAAGUCAGAUGUGAAAUCCUGCGGCUUAACCGCAGAACUGCAUUUGAAACUGUUGAUCUGGAGUACUGGAGAGGCAGACGGAAUUCCUAGUGUAGCGGUGAAAUGCGUAGAUAUUAGGAGGAACACCAGUGGCGAAGGCGGUCUGCUGGACAGCAACUGACGGUGAGGCGCGAAAGCGUGGGGAGCAAACAGGAUUAGAUACCCUUGUAGUC
This 442-nucleotide ribosomal RNA is filed under the name uncultured bacterium. Its description in RNAcentral is "partial 16S ribosomal RNA". It matches the Rfam family "Bacterial small subunit ribosomal RNA", at positions 338 to 795 of the family's 1533-position model. The record is from RNAcentral.